CCUACGGGAGGCUGCAGUAGGGAAUAUUGCUCAAUGGGGGCAACCCUGAAGCAGCAACGCCGCGUGGAGGAUGAAGGUUUUCGGAUUGUAAACUCCUUUUGUUAGAGAAGAUAAUGACGGUAUCUAACGAAUAAGCACCGGCUAACUCCGUGCCAGCAGCCGCGGUAAUACGGAGGGUGCACGCGUUACUCGGAAUCACUGGGCGGAAAGUGCGCGGAGGCGGGAUAGCAAGUCAGAUGUGAAAUCCUAUGGCUUAACCAUAGAACUGCAUUUGAUACUGUUAUUCUAGAGUAUGGGAGAGGUGGGUGGAAUUCUAGGUGUAGGGGUAAAAUGCGUAGAGAUCAGGAGGAAUACUCAUGGCGAAGGCGACCUGCUGGAACAUGACUGACGCUGAUGCGCGAAAGCGUGGGGAGCAAACAGGAUUAGAUACCCUUGUAGUC
RNAcentral lists this ribosomal RNA (440 nucleotides) under uncultured bacterium. RNAcentral's name for it is "partial 16S ribosomal RNA". It matches the Rfam family "Bacterial small subunit ribosomal RNA", at positions 338 to 795 of the family's 1533-position model. The record is from RNAcentral.